This 381-nucleotide ribosomal RNA is filed under the name Clostridioides difficile. RNAcentral describes it as "bacterial SSU rRNA". It matches the Rfam family "Bacterial small subunit ribosomal RNA", at positions 1162 to 1533 of the family's 1533-position model. Lineage: Bacteria; Bacillati; Bacillota; Clostridia; Peptostreptococcales; Peptostreptococcaceae. The record is from RNAcentral.
CCUGGAGGAAGGUGGGGAUGACGUCAAAUCAUCAUGCCCCUUAGGCUUAGGGCUACACACGUGCUACAAUGGGUAGUACAGAGGGUUGCCAAGCCGUAAGGUGGAGCUAAUCCCUUAAAGCUACUCUUAGUUCGGAUUGUAGGCUGAAACUCGCCUACAUGAAGCUGGAGUUACUAGUAAGCGCAGAUCAGAAUGCUGCGGUGAAUGCGUUCCCGGGUCUUGUACACACCGCCCGUCACACCACGGGAGUUGGAGACGCCCGAAGCCGAUUAUCUAACCUUUUGGAAGAAGUCGUCGAAGGUGGAAUCAAUAACUGGGGUGAAGUCGUAACAAGGUAGCCGUAUCGGAAGGUGCGGCUGGAUCACCUCCUUUCUAAGGAGA